AAAGCUUUCUUCAGUGCGUUGAAAAUGCAUUUCAUCUCACUGGAGUCUCAAUUCCACACUGGAGCCUUUUGUUCCAGUAAAAAUUUAGCAACUUCAAUUGCUUUUUGUUUUCCUCUUUUACCCAUAUGUUCUUUAAUUGCAUUCUUCAGGCUUUUCUGAUGUCUGUUACCUUCUUCUCCCCUUUCCCCUUCCCCUUCCCUUUCCCCUUCCCCUUGGGUUGCAAAUCAGUUUGGUCAAGGACUUCUUCCGGUUCCUCCUUCAUCCAGGCAAAUCUACCAUGAAUGCUUCCAUUAGUAAAUCAAGAGAUCACAAAGUCUUCUCAAUUUCCCCCUUGAAAUUAAUUUUUCAAAUUCAAUUUUGAUGAAUUCUUAAUUUCUGUAAAGAAGAAAUAGGAAAAACUAAUCGGAAAUGUUUCCACAGUUCGGAGCGAUGGCGGAGAUGUUGAGCAAGGCGUCGACGAUGGUGUUCCGGAUCGAACCGAUGCUCACCCCUACGACGAUCCGAAUGAUGCCAGCAUAGCUCCGCUUUUAGAUAGUAAAUUCGAUUCGGAGAAGUGUGAGGCUCUCAAGCGACUCCUUGCUCUCAUCGCUCAAGGCUUCGACGUCUCCAAUUACUUCCCUCAGGUUGUUUAAAACAUGGCAUCUCAAUCUUUGGAAGUAAAGAAACUUGUUUAUUUGUAUCUACUGCAUUAUGCUGAAAAGCGUCCCAACGAAGCAUUGUUGUCAAUUAAUUGUUUCCAGAAGGAUUUGGGGGACCCUAAUCCCUUGGUGAGAGCAUGGGCACUUCGCACCAUGGCUGGAAUUCGUCUUCAUGUUAUUGCACCUCUUGUUCUGGUGGCUAUGGGCAAGUGUGCUAGAGAUCCAUCUGUCUAUGUUAGAAAAUGUCCAGCUAGUGCUCUUCCAAAAGUACAUGAUUUGCGCCUAGAGGAACAUACCUCGGCAAUUGAAGAGGUUCACUUGAUAGAUUUAUUUCUUCAUGGUUAUUUUUGCUUUCGUGUUAUCCACCAUUUAUUAUGAACUUACUUUGCUACGACUCGAUUUCCAUUGUUAAGAUCAGUUGAAAACUGCUUCCUUAAAAGGUUUGGUAUUUUUGGACAGAAGGUUUUAGACUAGUUUGGCAUGCAAUAUGCAAAGAUAAUAUCUUUUCAUCUUUUGUGCCUGCAUUUUUCAGGAAUUUUUUUGUACCUAAAUAAACAUUCAUAGAUUUGUGCUUCUUUACUUGGGCGUCCAAUUUUAGAUGUCUUUAGUAGCAUGACACCUUAGACAUCUAUCUCUUGUUAUAAUACAUUUCGAUAGGGUUGGAUUUAUGUUUGAUGUUAUAGCUGGUAUGUCAGCUACAUUUUGUUUGUAAUUCUAUCUAGGCUUUAGUCAUGUAUUAGUGGGAGCAGCUAUACAUUAGUUAACUGCCAUAUUUCAUUGUAACAUAAAUGCUUCUCAAGUCAAUGAAAAAGAUCUGAAUUUUGGAAAUCAAAUUCAGUUUUCUUAUUGUUCAAA
Gossypium raimondii (Peruvian cotton) is the source of this 1493-nucleotide long non-coding RNA. RefSeq lists it as uncharacterized. The record is from RefSeq and is a predicted model, not a curated record. Lineage: Eukaryota; Viridiplantae; Streptophyta; Magnoliopsida; Malvales; Malvaceae. The transcript has 4 exons.